ACUACGGGUGGCAGCAGUGAGGAAUAUUGGUCAAUGGACGAGAGUCUGAACCAGCCAAGUAGCGUGAAGGAUGACUGCUCUAUGGGUUGUAAACUUCUUUUAUAUGGGAAUAACAUGUUCCAGGUGUGGGAUUUUGUAUGUACCAUAUGAAUAAGGAUCGGCUAACUCAUUGCCGGCAGCCGCGGUAAUACUGAGGAUCCGAGCGUUAUCCGGAUUGAUUGGGUUUAAAGGGAGCGUAGAUGGGGUGUUAAGUCAGUUGUGAAAGUGUGCGGCUCAACCGUAAAAUUGCAAUUGAUACUGGCAGUCUUGAGUACAGGUGAGGUAGGCGGAAUUCGUGGUGUAGCGGUGAAAUGCUUAGAUAUCACGAAGAACUCCGAUUGCGAAGGCAGCUUACUAAACUGCCACUGACGUUGAUGCUCGAAAGUGUGGGUAUCAAACAGGAUUAGAUACCCGGGUAGUC
This 460-nucleotide ribosomal RNA is filed under the name uncultured bacterium. RNAcentral's name for it is "partial 16S ribosomal RNA". It matches the Rfam family "Bacterial small subunit ribosomal RNA", at positions 338 to 795 of the family's 1533-position model. The record is from RNAcentral.